RNAcentral lists this ribosomal RNA (303 nucleotides) under uncultured bacterium. RNAcentral's name for it is "partial 16S ribosomal RNA". It matches the Rfam family "Bacterial small subunit ribosomal RNA", at positions 510 to 808 of the family's 1533-position model. The record is from RNAcentral.
AGCAGUCCCGCGGGAAUACGUAGGGUGCAAGCGUUAAUCGGAAUUACUGGGCGUAAAGCGUGCGCAGGCGGUUAUAUAAGACAGAUGUGAAAUCCCCGGGCUCAACCUGGGAACUGCAUUUGUGACUGUAUAGCUAGAGUACGGCAGAGGGGGAUGGAAUUCCGCGUGUAGCAGUGAAAUGCGUAGAUAUGCGGAGGAACACCGAUGGCGAAGGCAAUCCCCUGGGCCUGUACUGACGCUCAUGCACGAAAGCGUGGGGAGCAAACAGGAUUAGAUACCCCCGUAGUCCCUGUCUCUUAUACC